This 253-nucleotide ribosomal RNA is filed under the name uncultured bacterium. Its description in RNAcentral is "partial 16S ribosomal RNA". It matches the Rfam family "Bacterial small subunit ribosomal RNA", at positions 524 to 776 of the family's 1533-position model. The record is from RNAcentral.
UACGUAGGGUGCAAGCGUUGUCCGGAAUUAUUGGGCGUAAAGAGCUCGUAGGCGGUUUGUUGCGUCGGCUGUGAAAUCCCGAGGCUCAACCUCGGGUCUGCAGUCGAUACGAGCAAACUAGAGUGUUGCAGGGGAGACUGGAAUUCCUGGUGUAGCGGUGAAAUGCGUUGAUAUCAGGAGGAACACCCAUGGCGAAGGCAGCAAACUGGGCAUCAUCUGACGCUGAGGCGCGAAAGCGUGGGUAGCAAACAGG